GACGAACGCUGGCGGCGUGCUUAACACAUGCAAGUCGAACGGAAAGGCCCUGCUUUUGUGGGGUGCUCGAGUGGCGAACGGGUGAGUAACACGUGAGUAACCUGCCCUUGACUUUGGGAUAACUUCAGGAAACUGGGGCUAAUACCGGAUAGGAGCUCCUGCUGCUUGGUGGGGGUUGGAAAGUUUCGGCGGUUGGGGAUGGACUCGCGGCUUAUCAGCUUGUUGGAGGGGUAGUGGCUUACCAAGGCUUUGACGGGUAGCCGGCCUGAGAGGGUGACCGGCCACAUUGGGACUGAGAUACGGCCCAGACUCCUACGGGAGGCAGCAGUGGGGAAUAUUGCACAAUGGGCGGAAGCCUGAUGCAGCAACGCCGCGUGCGGGAUGACGGCCUUCGGGUUGUAAACCGCUUUCGCCUGUGACGAAGCGUGAGUGACGGUAAUGGGUAAAGAAGCACCGGCUAACUACGUG
This 468-nucleotide ribosomal RNA is filed under the name uncultured bacterium. RNAcentral describes it as "partial 16S ribosomal RNA". It matches the Rfam family "Bacterial small subunit ribosomal RNA", at positions 28 to 507 of the family's 1533-position model. The record is from RNAcentral.